ACGGGAGGCAGCAGUGAGGAAUAUUGGUCAAUGGUCGAGAGACUGAACCAGCCAAGUCGCGUGAAGGAUGGAGGUAUUAUGUAUUGUAAACUUCUUUUAUACGGGGAUAAAGUGCAUCUCGUGCAGGUGUAUUGCAGGUACCGUAAGAAAAAGCAUCGGCUAACUCCGUGCCAGCAGCCGCGGUAAUACGGGGGAUGCGAGCGUUAUCCGGAUUUAUUGGGUUUAAAGGGUGCGUAGGCGGUACAGCGAGUCAGUGGUGAAAUGUCUUGGCUUAACCAGGGAGUUGCCAUUGAUACUGUUGUACUUGAGUGCGUGAAAGGUAGGCGGAAUUUGUUGUGUAGCGGUGAAAUGCAUAGAUAUGACAAAGAACUCCGAUUGCGAAGGCAGCUUACUAGACUGUAACUGACGCUGAGGCACGAAAGUGUGGGUAUCGAACAGGAUUAGAUACCCUGGUA
RNAcentral lists this ribosomal RNA (455 nucleotides) under uncultured Paludibacter sp. Its description in RNAcentral is "partial 16S ribosomal RNA". It matches the Rfam family "Bacterial small subunit ribosomal RNA", at positions 341 to 792 of the family's 1533-position model. Lineage: Bacteria; Pseudomonadati; Bacteroidota; Bacteroidia; Bacteroidales; Paludibacteraceae. The record is from RNAcentral.